RNAcentral lists this unclassified non-coding RNA (21 nucleotides) under Mus musculus (house mouse). RNAcentral describes it as "oocyte_clustered_small_RNA10794". Lineage: Eukaryota; Metazoa; Chordata; Mammalia; Rodentia; Muridae. The record is from RNAcentral.
AGGGAGGCACCGCCUGGUCCA